UUGGGUGGCUCUAAACAACUCUUCUUAGUAUCCUUGGUGCAGCUAGAUCCUAAAGCCACUUGGAUUCCAGUUGCCAGAAACCGCUGAUGAUUUGCAGAGAGGCUACCCGCUGAAUGGAUUGGUUCAUCACAGUCCUCGCAGAAAAGGGCUCUGUCUUCAACACAGAAAAUGAAAGCUGCCUUUUCUUGGCAUAUGUCACAACGAGGCAGCUUGUUGGAAAGGCA
Molecule: unclassified non-coding RNA, 224 nt
Filed under: Hevea brasiliensis (rubber tree)
Lineage: Eukaryota; Viridiplantae; Streptophyta; Magnoliopsida; Malpighiales; Euphorbiaceae
Source: RNAcentral